AUUGAACGCUGGCGGCAGGCCUAACACAUGCAAGUCGAACGGUAGCACAGAGAGCUUGCUCUCGGGUGACGAGUGGCGGACGGGUGAGUAACGUCUGGGAAACUGCCCGAUGGAGGGGGAUAACUACUGGAAACGGUAGCUAAUACCGCAUAACGUCGCAAGACCAAAGUGGGGGACCUUCGGGCCUCACACCAUCGGAUGUGCCCAGAUGGGAUUAGCUAGUAGGUGGGGUAAUGGCUCACCUAAGCGACGAUCCCUAGCUGGUCUGAGAGGAUAGACAGCCACACUGGAACUGAGACACGGUCCAGACUCCUACGGGAGGCAGCAGUGGGGAAUAUUGCACAAUGGGCGCAAGCCUGAUGCAGCCAUGCCGCGUGUAUGAAGAAGGCCUUCGGGUUGUAAAGUACUUUCAGCGGGGAGGAAGGCGGUGAAGUUAAUAGCUUCACCGAUUGACGUUACCCGCAGAAGAAGCACCGGCUAACUCCGUGCCAGCCGCCGCGGUAA
This 504-nucleotide ribosomal RNA is filed under the name uncultured bacterium. RNAcentral's name for it is "partial 16S ribosomal RNA". It matches the Rfam family "Bacterial small subunit ribosomal RNA", at positions 30 to 523 of the family's 1533-position model. The record is from RNAcentral.